UUUAGCACCUGAGAAACACACCCACAGUUAAUAAAAAGACACUCCUCAAAGCACAAAGUAAGAGCUUCACUGACAGGGAAUAGGCUUUGAGUGAAAACAAUAUGAAGGAAGAGUACAAUUGAUUUCUAUGAAAACUAUCCUCGUCUGAGUCUCAGAGAAGCAGCCUUCAUUCCAACACAGUGAUGGGCAGAGAGCUGCAGAGUCUAUCCCAGGACACCACAGCCUUCACACCAGCACAGUGAUGGGGCAGGGAGCUGCAGAGUCCAUCCCAGGACACCACAGCCUUCACACCAGCACAGUGAUGGGGCAGGGAGCUGCAGAGUCCAUCCCAGGACACCACAGCCUUCACACCAGCACAGUGAUGGGGCAGGGAGCUGCAGAGUCCAUCCCAGGACACCACAGCCUUCACACCAGCACAGUGAUGGGGCAGGAACUAUCCUCGUCUGAGUCUCAGAGAAGCAGCCUUCAUUCCAACACAGUGAUGGGCAGAGAGCUGCAGAGUCUAUCCCAGGACACCACAGCCUUCACACCAGCACAGUGAUGGGCAGGGAGCUGCAGAGUCCAUCCCAGGACACCACAGCCUUCACACCAGCACAGUGAUGAGGCAGGGAGCUGCAGUCGAGUCCAUCCCAGGACAUCACAGCCCUCACACCAGCACAGUGAUGGGGCAGGGAGCUGCAGAGUCUAUCCCAGGACACUAUGUAGGGGGUUAUUUUACAUGGUUAUAAAUCUGUUUUGCUAUAAUUCUCUGCCACUUAAUCAAUAUGUAUUGCUAUCACACAGUCUCUGCCCACUUAAUAUUUAUUUUGGGGGGAGAAAGCACGGAUAAGAUAAAUGCCAGUGCAUUCCGGUACAAAAACUAGUUUGAUGAUCUGUCUAAUCGGUCCUCUUAUCUUUCUAACAAUAAAUACAAUUUGAGUAAAUCCAACAGAAGAGGGAGCCACCCCUCAAGAAGAUCCACCAGAAGCAGCAGCUUUACCUUUUUAUACAACAAUAUGCAUGUUGUUCACCAAUUAGCUAAUUUAUCAAAGCAUCCCGCCCAAGCCAACCCUCCCUCUAACUUUAAACCAACAGGGUUUUGAGUACAUGUGGCAGGGGACCCCUGCACGGGAAAAUGGGUUUGUUUGUGUGUUUUUGUAAUUAUGUUUAAUUAAAUAAUUGUUUGCUA
Polyodon spathula (Mississippi paddlefish) is the source of this 1168-nucleotide long non-coding RNA. RefSeq lists it as uncharacterized. NCBI's taxonomy places the organism in Eukaryota, Metazoa, Chordata, Actinopteri, Acipenseriformes, Polyodontidae. The transcript is spliced from 2 exons. The record is from RefSeq and is a predicted model, not a curated record.